GGGGUUGUGCCUGAUUAAAGGUUUGUUUUGAUGGAACAACUAUGGCUUUGCCCGACCCCA
This 60-nucleotide transfer RNA is filed under the name Polyplax reclinata. Its description in RNAcentral is "tRNA-Ile". The record is from RNAcentral. Lineage: Eukaryota; Metazoa; Arthropoda; Insecta; Psocodea; Polyplacidae.